This 3579-nucleotide long non-coding RNA is filed under the name Daucus carota (carrot). Its description in RNAcentral is "long non-coding RNA (DCAR_LNC001461)". The record is from RNAcentral. Lineage: Eukaryota; Viridiplantae; Streptophyta; Magnoliopsida; Apiales; Apiaceae.
GCAAAUGUACCUUCAGUCAUAAGGUCAUUUCUGGGACAAGCUGAAUAGAAAGUUACUGUAACCAUGCCAUUCCUUUUGAAGGUGGAGUUCUUUGGCACAUCACUACUAACAUCUCCAAAGUUUACCCCAAGAGGAGUUGAGUCUACUACCACCGGUGUUAGUAAGCUUAUUUGUUUGUCCAGGAGAUCAGGGGGUUGUGGGCCAGGUUCAACAGGUUUACCAUUAACAAGAGCCUUUGCAAGCUUCUGGAACUCCUGAAUGUAGGCACUGAGUGUAUGUGGACCAAACAGUGUGGAUGCACCCUGUGUAGCACCACAUAGAUUAGAGAUUACAAUAACAAAGUGAACCUGUAUCCCCACAUUGUUUAAGAUAUAUCCAUCAUUGAAUGACAGUUAAUGAUGCUGACAGCACACUGAGUUGCACAUUGCUUAAAAAAGUAUACAGAGAAAUAAAGUUGGGGCACUUUCUAGUUUUGCUGCCAUGUAGUAAGAAAACUGAACUUGUACAGUACUGCAUAUGCAAUUGAAACAAAAAGGAUGUCAAAUUCCACAAAAAGUAUUAUCUUACUGAUUCAUGUCCUUCGGUAUCAGCAGUAUGAGAAGGAUUGCAAAAACUUAAAAAAGAGCAUUAGCGGGGGAGAACUAUGAUUUUAACUUCACUUUCUGAUUUGUAUAUAAAAAACUUAUAUCUGUUUACUUGAUAAAUUUAACUUGGUGUUUUUAGUCACUCUUAAGUCUAAAGUUAAAAAUUAUACUUAUUGCAUUCGUAAAUGCGUCCAUAUACACUACAUCUAUUCUAAAAAUUAAUGCUAUAUCUAGUUCUUAUAUAUGAGUCGUGUUCACAGGAAUGUCUGAAGUGUUUACAAGGACCAAAAUGAACAUGACUUGCUUAAUUGCAUAUUUGGCCCCUGAUUAUGCUAACAAGAAGUGACUUUUAGAGUAUAGUAAUUGAUGAAUUCUCAUAUUGGAUAAAAAUAUAUGCUAGAACUACAAGGCCCUGUAUCUUAGUGAGAACUGUGCUCAUUAACUGACCUCGUAUCUCUGUAUCUGGUACUCCUCAAAGGUAGUCACGUAUUGGGAAUAUGUAUUUGUCAGGCCAGCUAUCACAAUGUGAACAUUGCUGUUAAAUUGUUUAUUUCCUCCACUUGUAAGCACUGUUUUUACAGCAUCACGGAGACGUCUUCCAGCCAUGGUCGUGAACUCUGUCAUGAAACCAAAAAAAAUAAAAAAAAAUGUAACGUAUAUACCAAGUAAUGGGUUUUAAUCUUCACUUAAAACCCUACGCAAACCUCAACACUCAAAAUACAAAAUCAGAAUAUAACAAGUAACAUAAAGGUCAUGGCUGGAUACAAAGAUGUGUAGUGCACAUGAAAUAACUAAUAAGAUUUAACAUUAUUAGGUUUUUCCUGGCACGUCCUCGGGUAAAUGGGUUUAACUAAUGCUGUUCAAUGAUUCUCAUGGCAUAAAGUUAUCAUUAUACAUUAUAGAUGAAACUAUAAAACACACAAGUGCCAAUUUGUAUCUCUUUCCAUUUAACAUGAAAAUAACAGUAAGUGUGUAUUUUUAUUCUUCUUUUGGGGUAUUGCCGGGAAGGAGGCAUGGGUAAUGGAGCUUUAUAGACUGCAGAGUACUUAAAUGGCAGAGGAAAUAUGUAAUUGCAAGAUAAGGGUAGAAGUAUGUCGAGAAUCAGGGAGUAUCCAAAUGAUGGCAAAGGCCCCUCUAGUGCUAUAAGAGGUCAAGAGUCUGAUUCUCAUCCCCCUUAUAGGGCCAUGCUUAAAAAUAUAUCAAUAUUAAAAAAAGUUAUUGAACUUUUCACCUAUUCAAAUAAAAAGUGAACAUGUCACUAUUCAAGGAAAAGUGAACAUUUCUUGCUACAAUAUAUAGAAGCUCUGCAAGACAUUAGGGUCGAGCACUUGAAGCCAAAAAAUAUACAUUCUCCUUCUAUUAACUGUUCUUUAUUUUCAAAGUGUUAAGGUGAUAUAACCUAAUUGACAAUAGGCAUACAACCCGAUACCUGGAGGAUUGAAACUAAAUUCCUACCAAAUUUGCAUACAAAGUAGCAGUCAUGGUAAAAAUCUUGGUAAUAGCGUUCAGAACUCUAGGGUUUAGAUGAUCAGCUAAUCAGAAACAUUGAAAAUUUGUGGUGUUGUCCUCGUAGAAAUCUUUUUAUUUUGCUAAGAAAUUUUUUAACAAUAACAUCUAGUGUAGCUGGUUGGUUUGACUGCACUGUAUUCAGAGUUGUGGUAUCUGCAACAUGUUUAAUAAAAAAACCCGGGAUAAUGUUAGUACAAGAAUUGAGCUUGACCAUACCUUGAUAACCAGAUCAACAUUCAACACUUAAAGAUGAUGACUCAUCUUAAACCAACCUCUUGUUGAGAAACACAAGAAAGACACGCAUACUACAUAUUUUUAUAACUUCUUGUUGGUUUAUAAUUCAAGCAUUCAAACAUUCAAGACAUAGCGGGGCAGUUUUACGAGGUAAGUAAGAAAUUAAGAACACAGGUUAUGUCAGUGAAGUAUUAAGAAUAAGAACAAUAAAAGACAGCAAACAAGCAGAGCUACUACCUCCAGGUACACUGAGAAUGACCAAUUGCCCUAUCCUUAUCAUCUGAAUUGGGAGAAUUGAUGGCUGCAAUGUAACAAAACUAGCAAUGUCAGAUAAUUACAAAAGGAAUGAGCAAAUUUGUUACAGUUUGCUAGGAAUGACACAUUUUCCUGUCUACACAAAACAUGGCCCCCUUUCAGGCAAAUCAAAUUCAGUCCUGGGGGCAUGACAAUAGAAGACACAGAUGAAAGGGACAGAAAGAGAAGGCAGAAGUCAUAACACUGUAACAAACAACUUAGAUAACCCUAUCAGCAUACAUAGAAUCAGAUUCCAAAAUUUUCUAGAAAUAAGAAAAUUACAGAGAAUGAGCUUCUGAGCUCAGAACCUGGAAACUCCAGAUUUUCAUAGUAAAUUCAAGAGCAGAGAAGACAUAAGAAGCAAAUAACUCUAACGAUUCACUUUCAAUUUUAUUUACAAUUUAACACCAAUUAUUUCAUAUAAAAAAAAUCCUUAAAGUUGGAACUUACAGCCCAGUCAUAUGGUUGCUUCAUUUCACCAGUAUCAAGUAAGAUAGGCUUUGGUUGGUGACAAUCAACUUGUUCGUUUGAUGGUUCUUUAAGCAAGUUCCGAACCAAUCUCCAAAAUGCAUUCCCCUAAAGGACAUGUUGAGCUAGAAUAAGAACGAGAUGACAAAGUUUUGCGGCUUUUGCCGCAUAAAGCCACAUAUAGCCACAUAAUGAUCUAUUGCAUAUCCAUGAUCCACUUUACCUGGUCAUCUCCUUGCUUAAAAUCAAAGGCUCCAGGUCCAUCGGUUGUACCAGCAGCAAAUGCAAAGCCCAUGGCGGCAGGACACGUUUUAACCACCUGAUUUGUGCCAUCUUGAUUGUGAAGGGUUACCUCAAGAUUUGAGAAGUUCAGAUAAGCAUGCCGAUAAUCAACCUUGCCUUUCAACUGCUCUGAUGCGCUGCUAAAAAGAUCCACAGCUUUUCUAAAUUGUCUGUCUCCAAUAAUACGUGUACUCUCAAAUUCAUCAGG